GUCGCCGAUAAUCGCGGACCUUCGAAUUUUAUCUGUGUCAUCCGUGAAACCAGGGUAGGUUUCCAUGCUUGACUCAUACUUGUGACCGGUCAGCAUCAUGAUCAUCAUGAUGUGUCGAGAUGGGACCUGUGCACUAUCAAGAACUUAUACUGUUGUAGCACGCAGGGAGUGGUUGGUGUACUUGGUGGAUGGACCAGCCUUCAUACUGACAGUUGGAUCAUGGAUCCAAGUCAGAUAUGUCUGAGAGGCACGGCUUUGUAGUACACCCCAAUCGUGGCUGUUUCUCUUCACACAGUCCUUCUGCAAGGCCUUGAUCCUUUGAUUCAAAAUGGCGAAAUAUACACGUCUACUUU
Haliotis rubra (blacklip abalone) is the source of this 353-nucleotide long non-coding RNA. RefSeq lists it as uncharacterized. The record is from RefSeq and is a predicted model, not a curated record. NCBI's taxonomy places the organism in Eukaryota, Metazoa, Mollusca, Gastropoda, Lepetellida, Haliotidae. The transcript is spliced from 2 exons.